Molecule: long non-coding RNA, 9436 nt
Filed under: Zea mays
Lineage: Eukaryota; Viridiplantae; Streptophyta; Magnoliopsida; Poales; Poaceae
Description: long non-coding RNA (ZMAY_LNC003864)
Source: RNAcentral
CGCGAGUCAUCAAGAAAUCUAAAGAAUCAGGUGAAGACGAAGCCAACAGUGUGGUGUUCACCAAGUGCGCGACAAAAGCUCAAACAUCCUGCGCGACUCAAGUUCGACUCGUCAGAAUUAUUCAGUCGAGGAAAAGAUCUUCAAGCAAUUGACUACCGAAGAAAAGAAGACCCCUGGGUGACGUCAACCGGAACCCAUAGUCGUGCUUGCGACGUCAAAUUAGACAGGGUAAGCAAAUUUAUUAUUCGUGCGAGUGGAUUAAUGAAUGAUCUAAACUAGGUCUAUAAAUAGAAUUGUGGUCACAAUAAAUGUUAGUAAUUUACUAAUUUAGCAUGCCUAUAUUGUGAUAAUCGAUUUAGGUAAAUCGGUAAAUCAAGUAAUUAAGAUACAUAGUUUAAAGAGUUAAUAAAAAGCUAGGAAUAAAAAUAGAUCUAGUGUAAUAUGUCAAUUUGGUUAAUGGAUGUAGUCGAUGCCCUGCUGUGAUAUCCAUGAUGCUUAAUUCUUGGUUUUAAGUGUUUCGUCCUUUUUGGCGUAGAUUAUCUAUCUCAUACUAUGUAUACUCGUGCUCAUACAUGUGCAUCGUGCAUCUCAUGAGGUACGAUAAUUAAUCGCGCGAUGCGGAAGAAGAGCCAAGUCGAUCUCAAGCGCGGGCUAAUCCGCAGGAUGAUGCUGAUGGACGAACCGGAAGAUGGAUAAUCUGAACAAUGCCAAAACAAAAGGCUGAUCGUCAAGUGGUCGUCGUCUAACAACACUAACCUAGUGUUACCCAGGCAAGCCCCGGUGCAUUUGCCACCUUCCUUGAUGUUUUUAAAAUCUUUCUCACUUGAUUGAUGCAUUAGGUGAUAGGAGUUGAUUGCUAAAACAAUUCCUGCAUUACCUUCCUUGAAUUUGAUUACCUUCCUUGAUCACCUGUUUUACAAAAGAUUUUUGAUGCUUAGCAUUGCUUUAGAAAAACAAAAUGUUUUGUUUUUACAAAAGAUGAUUUGGCAAAAGUGGAUGGGAUGUUUUUGAAAAUAAAACUUGAUGGUGAAUCCAUCACGGCCGUGAUGGAUUCAACAUUGGAAAAGAUGUACCUCUGCCAGGUACCCACCUUUGGGGUUAAAUGAUUAAGCUGAGACCGGGCGGGUGACUUGCACGAGAAAGGAGUCUCGAUGUAGUGUCUCCGUCUGAGUCGUUUAAGGACCGUACCGAUUGUUGGCCUGCUGAUCUAGGACCCUUUAUCUGGCCACAUACCUCAUCAUGGGUAAGCUUGAACCCGGCUAUUCCAUACAUGAAAAGACAAUCACGCACUGGGAGUGGAGAGAUGGCGAGAGUGGCACGUACCCUCCUGGCAAAGGACCGCCUAAAAGGGGUGGUGUGCUCUCGGGUGGCGCGGACCUGUUCAUGUGGUGGAGGAUCCGUGGGAAUGGUAGACAUGUGCAAAAGAGUUAAGAGAAGCAUAUGUCGUGUGGUUGGAGAUCCCUAGCUGGGUAUUAAUCGAUUCAGAUCGCCGAACUUCUCGGAUAUGAAGACUGGAUCUUCGACCCUCAUCGUAGAUAACAAGCGAAACAAAAGUUAGAUUUUAAAAGAAAGCUAGUGUAGGACAAGUGAAUGCUCUAGAUUAGGCAAAUCUAGAUUCAGGAAAAGUACUUAACUUGUGAUGUAAAAUUUUGGCUUAAGGACCCACUUCUAGUAAGCUUUUCUGCAAAAAGAGUCCUUGAAACUUGAUGAGCUUUACCUUGAAUCCCUCUAGCCAGCAUACCCUUGAGAGUCUUUUCUUUAGUUGGGUAAGUCUUGCUGAGUAAUUCCGUGCUCAGGGUUUUAUUCCCUGUUGUUUUUCAGGUUCUAACUUUGUGCUGUUGUUGAUGGUGUUAAGUGCCGGUGGGCUCGGCCUUCUUAUAAGUCUAAGUAACUCUUCUAUACUUCUUAUUGAGAAUGUUCACUUGAGCUAGCAUAUAUUUCAAAACUAUAAAUAAUUUAUAAUAGUUUAAAGUUAUUCCUUUGAACCACUUCUGUAACCACUCCGAUAAAUCUAAUGUAAAACUUGAUGUAGCUUGUAAAAUUUGGUAAAAAGAUUUCCGCUGCAAAAUGUUGGUGUGUGAUUUGUGUUUACUUAAUCUUGUGAUCCUGGUUGUUCGUGGUUUAUCCGGGGUCCCUGGGACACUCGGACAGAUCCUGUUAAGUUAUCUGGUGCACAUACAUAGCCGUCUGAGGUCUUUGAGACAAGGACAGGUGCAUGUGGGCCCGAUAACUUGGGAGGUUCUGCCACAGCUGGUAUCGGAGCAAGAUUAAGUAUAUACAGUCACAUACAUAUUUUCAAAACCAAAGUUUUGGUUUCAGAAAACCUAUUUUCACCUAAACACAUUGUUUGGUUUUGAAAAACAGUUUUAAAAAACUAUAAUGCUAGUGACAUCCUCUAUUAAGCCCUAAGUUAAGGACUAUCAGGUGGCUUAGUUCAAAACCACUAACCCACAACCAGGUGGGUAUUGCAUACAUGUGUAUUGUUAUUUUUGAGGCCAUUCGGUUUUGAAUGGAUCGACGCUCAAGGUAAGGUGAGAUGUGAGAGCAUGACCGAACAAACGUCGGUCUAGGGGAGUGCUUAAGUGUGGCGCUUGAUUAUAUACAUGUUCCACAUAUGUAUAUAUGAAGGCUGCGAUGUGGAGUAUUUACUUUUCUGGGAAUUCAGUACCCCAUGGAUGUGUAUGGGUAUACAGACAUGGGAAUACUGAGAAGUGUAUUGUACUCGUAACGACGCACCUACGCUCAGGUAAGAAGGUGAGUUACCAUAAUGAGUUGCCCUAUGGUUAAAGUGUGGCAACGGCGCCUAUGCAUGGCUCGGCGCUUAAUGAUGAGCUGGCCUCCAUAUAGCAAUAUAUGGAGUAUAAACUGUGAUAAACUAUCAUGUGUGAAUUGCAUCAUUGGGAAUUGGGCUAUGAUGGAUUUUUCUGCAGGUACACUAACCUCGAAAAUGUAUGUGUAGUUGACGACUAGCAAAAUACCGUGAGAGUCGUAAGUAUGCCACCGAUAUAGAACGCUAUUGCCACAGUAUAUUGGCAAAACUCGUGAGGACGUGUAGGACGAGCAUGCAUCCUGAUUGUUGCAUCAUGUUUGUCACCUAUACACCCAAGAUGCUUCUCUCAUCUUUAUUCUAGUAACCAUUGAUUGUAGAUAAUAUGGUGUAAUGCUAAAUUAUGAACUUCGAUGAAAUAGGUGUCCUCCAUUCUUUAGGUGACCUCUUAGAGUGCUUUAUGUGUGCUCUUUUGUUGAUGUGCCGAUAGAGGGUUAGUAGUUUGGUUGCUUAAACCCAAAAUUAGGCCAUGUUCUUAGUUGGUGAACCGAGACCCCAAUUUGAAUUUACCAUUAUCACUCUGUGACCAAGCCCAUACAAAUAAAUGCUUGAUAAUUUCUUUGUUGGACAUAAGUUGCAUUCGGACUCCAAAUAAGGAUCUUGGCAAUUAACUUGUCACUCCCUUAGUGGUCGUGUUUCCAUCCUAGAUCCUGCCCUUGCUUAGUUGAUACAGGUUGAGGUCUCUAUUGUGUUUGGCCUCUCCUUGCGGAUUAUCUUGUCGCUUUAUCAACCCAACCUAGGAAAGACAUGUCCAACCAUUUUUCUGGAAUUUGAUGCCUUUGGUUUCCCCAUAUCUAUCGAAGGCAUACCAACUUAAUCUUAUGAUUGUUUUCCCCUGUAUCUAGUCAGAUACUGAUCCUUGACCUUGUGAUCUCUACGAUUGGCAAAGAAAUAUGCUUGGGGCUGAACUAACAGUCUCCCAUCAUACUCCAUUCAUCAAGUUUAGGUUAUGGCCAUGUCUUGUCCAUUUCAUCGGGCCAUGAUCUAUUUGGCUCUCUGCUGUAACCAUCAUUACAGGGGGAGCAUCUCUUUGUAUAUUGUCACCCUUGCCUAAUUCAUUUGUAUCGCGUGAGAUUUCUUAUUGGUUACGUCUGGUAAUGGUGUUAUGACUAAAACCGAUGGCACGCGUUGGUAUCACAGUUAAUAGUCAUAAUCCAUUAUGAGAUUGUAUCAAUAUGUUAUCUUCCGUAGACUUCUUCCUUGAAACAAUUUCUAUGUCGUUUGUGAAGAGAUCAAGCAACAUCUGUCAUCUCCGUUGGAUCAAAAGGGCAUACCACUUUCAUGUGUGGUCUUAUUUCUUUUGAUCUUGGUAGUGACUACUCAUACAAGUUCCCUUUACAUCCUUUGUGUAAAGGAGAAGCCUUGGAGCUUUUUAGUGUCGAGAGACAACCGAUUAGCUCUCAAAAUGGAGAUCUGUUUCCUCUGCUACUGAGAUGCAGGAGUUUGUUCAUUCGCUCUCUUAUUUAAUCCAUGUAUUCCCUAACCAAGUGGAUAAUGCGUCUCGCAUGAAGAAACGGAUGAACAACAUGACCAAAUGGAUUUCUACCCAAAUGCAUGACCAACUGUUAGUAUGAGUGAACUCUCGACCGUUGGCUUACCGAUGGUACUGAGAGGACAUGCCCAAUGUCAAAAGUAGUUCAACAAGUUGGUUUUACUAACUUGUAACUGCUCAAUGAACGAAGGUUGAGUUUAGAGAUCGUUUUAUCGAUUUGCCUGAACUCACUUUGGUUCAAACCCUCUUAAGAAAGUACUUAUAAGAAUCGAGAUUAAGGCGGCCAAUAACCACCUAGCCAUCGCUCUAGUCGUGUCUCGAUCGCCUCACGUGUGCUUUUCUAGCAUGUAUGACCAGGUCGAGUCAUGCCUAGUGCUUGAUAAAAUGGACUAGUUUUAAAGUCCGUAUCUACAGAUCCCUUUGCUGGUGAUGUUCUCGAAUCUAUAUCACCUUUCAGGGACUUGGAUUCUCUGGCUAACACGAGUUAACUAUGAUGUUAUUCGACAUUCACACCCGUCACGUGUGCUAUGAGCUUACUGUAACCACUUGUUGGUAAACCUCUUUCUGUGUGUUUUAACCAAGAUGGUGUAUCUGAUUCUGUUUGGGUAAAAUCGUGUAUUUGUCGCUCGCUCAACAGACUCAGAUAGUACAGUGUCAUAAAAAAAAGCAAACUGCACACAUGGAACCUUAUGUGUUCUUCUGGCAGACAGCGUCUCUAUUGGUGGACAUUUCUAAAUUGGCUUAAGGCGAUACAUGAUAUGUCCACUAGAGAAACAACAUUCUGAGACACUCGUCCUUGCUUGGAAUUGCCUUAUAAUUAUCGCUGAUAUGAACAAGGUUACAUACUUCUCUACCCUUAGAAGUCUUUCGCUCCGAAUCUCGGGACGAGAUUCUUUUAAGGGGGAGGGCUGUAACACCCCAGGUGUUUAUAUUCCGCUCGACAGCGAGUACGGAUUUAAGCACGUGAUAUCAGUGAAUAAGACGGACACUAAGGUCUAAUUAUCUUCGCCUAUUGCGAUUUUAAUAUCGCAUCCGUUCCGUCUGUCGUGGGUGCGACAUCGUUUUAUUUUCAUCUAUUCGGGCUCGUCCUAAAUUUUCGUGGUGUUCGGAACCUCGUCGUUCCAAAAAUUAGUGCGUCCGAUGAGUAUUUAAAAUUCAUCGCUCGCGCGAAUACGAAUUCGGAAGCCCGACUCACUCGAAUGAUUUUAUCCAUAACAAAUUAAUUUGCACUCGUCGACUAAGAUUUUUGGUGCAAACAAUUCGACUCACACUCGUCAAUCGUGAAAUCGUGUACGAGGAUCCAAAAAUUGUGCAUCAAUUCACGGAUAAAUUAUCCUGGCUGUGGAACCAGGUGUUCCGAGGUUAGACGUAUGUUCAUCUGAUUUUAAACCAGACUACUGUAAUUAGUACUGACAACAAGUAAUUGGUGAAUGAUUUGGUUCGCUAAAUCAUUAGACUGAAAUGUGUAGCCGUAUAACGCGUUGACCAAUUAUGUUCAUCGCUUAAAAUUGUGAUCCAAAAAUAUCUGCAAAAUUCUUUAAAAAAAAUUAUAAAAAAGGAAAAAUAUCUUCUCCUUAUCCUCCCAUCGUCUUCCUCUCUUGAUUUUUUUUCGCAUGAGCCUUAUCAGGAUCCGCGUCACUGUGUCCUGGAACAAAAAAAUCUAUCGUCGUUUUCUUUCUCAGAUAUCCUCCCACCGCUCACUGCCUUUGCUCUAUCCCGGCCACCGCCGCUCAAGCACCUGGAUGAGGAUCGAUGCCGUCGCCAGGAUUUUUCCUCGUCGUGCUCUUCUGCUGAAAUCGGUGCCCAGCCACUCCUCCUCUACAGCCGUUGCCAUCUCCCUCUUGUAGCUCGUCUUCUCCCUCUACUCUCCGCUCAAGCUUGCCGACCGUCCGUCUUCCUCCCUGGCCGGCGUACUGCCUCCGGCUCGCCGCUGCGCGCGCCCAUCUCCCUCCGCGCCGCACAUCCGGGUGUCUGCUCGCCCCCUGUGCCGCGUCGUGGUCUCCCUCCCUGCGCACAGCCACCACCGGCCGAGCUCGCCCCGGCCCCUUCGCUCCUCCCAUGGCGAGCUCGCCGGGAUGCCCCUGUCCCAGUUCGCUGCGCCCUGCUCGGUCCCGGGCUUAUCUGCUGCUCGGCCGCGUCCCUCCCUUGUUCCUCCAGCCGAGCUGCUCUCCCAGCGCUCUUCCUUCCCUGCAACCUGGACCUUCCCAGCUCGGCCUCUAGCUGCUGCGCGCGCUCUUCCUCCAUGGCCGCGCCCGCUGUCGCGCCCGUCCAGGCUCCUCUACGCGCGCCGGAGCUUCCUCUACUCGGUCCCCUGUCGGCCUGCUCCAUCUUCCUGGCGGCGCUCAGCUCUGUCCUUUCUCCCUCUGUUUGCCCACGCGCAGGCAUGCUUCGCCGAGCUCGCCCCUGCACGUCCUGCUCUCCCCAGCUCCGCUCUGGUCGUGCGCGCUCCUCUGCUCGCCGAGGCCCCUUCUCUAUGCACUCUCCGGCCAGCCGAGGUCUCGCCAGCUACAGUUCCGCUCAAAGUUCUCUGCUCAGUUCCCUUGCGUGCGCCUUGGUGGCUGCGCGUGCUAUUCCCUGCCGAGCUCGGUACUGUCUAUCUGGCCACGCUCGGUCUCUAGCUCCUUGUGCGCACAUCUGUUCAUGGCCGUGGUGAUAAUUGAUAUUAUGGCGUGGCGACGUCGUGCGCGUCGCGACAGUUGUCUUGGUCGUGAAGUAGUCCGCGCCAUAGAGUUCACCCGGCCAUGAUUUCAUCAAAUUGCGAAGCUUCCUCACCAUGCGCUCUGGCAUCGGCUGCCGCCGAUUCCGCCAUAAAGUUCACGAACGCUCUUUGCUCAAUUUAUUUCGCCGUGGGCAAUUUCUCCACACUUCAAAUACGUGUUGCUUGCCCCGCAUGCGCUCACUCCUCAUCCUUUGGGUUUCGGCAUAUUCACGUUUAUCGUCGAGCCGUCAAACUCGUCAUCCCCUGCUCGAUCCCCACCUUACCAGCUCGCUCCAAAAACGAUCUCGUCGUCGUUCCGCGAGUCAUCAAGAAAUCUAAAGAAUCAGGUGAAGACAAAGCCAACAGCGUGGUGUUCACCAAGUGCGCGACAAAAGCUCAAACAUCCUGCGCGACUCAAGUUCGACUCGUCAGAAUUAUUCAGUCAAGGAAAAGAUCUUCAAGCAAUUGACUACCGAAGAAAAGAAGACCCCUGGGUGACGUCAACCGGAACCCAUAGUCGUGCUUGCGACUAUCGCGUCAAAUUAGACAGGGUAAGCAAAUUUAUUAUUCGUGCGAGUGGAUUAAUGAAUGAUCUAAACUAGGUCUAUAAAUAGAAUUGUGGUCACAAUAAAUGUUAGUAAUUUACUAAUUUAGCAUGCCUAUAUUGUGAUAAUCGAUUUAGGUAAAUCGGUAAAUCAAGUAAUUAAGAUACAUAGUUUAAAGAGUUAAUAAAAAGCUAGGAAUAAAAAUAGAUCUAGUGUAAUAUGUCAAUUUGGUUAAUGGAUGUAGUCGAUGCCCUGCUGUGAUAUCCAUGAUGCUUAAUUCUUGGUUUUAAGUGUUUCGUCCUUUUUGGCUUAGAUUAUCUAUCUCAUACUAUGUAUACUCGUGCUCAUACAUGUGCAUCGUGCAUCUCAUGAGGUACGAUAAUUAAUCGCGCGAUGCGGAAGAAGAGCCAAGUCGAUCUCAAGCGCGGGCUAAUCCGCAGGAUGAUGCUGAUGGACGAACCGGAAGAUGGAUAAUCUGAACAAUGCCAAAACAAAAGGCUGAUCGUCAAGUGGUCGUCGUCUAACAACACUAACCUAGUGUUACCCAGGCAAGCCCCGGUGCAUUUGCCACCUUCCUUGAUGUUUUUAAAAUCUUUCUCACUUGAUUGAUGCAUUAGGUGAUAGGAGUUGAUUGCUAAAACAAUUCCUGCAUUACCUUCCUUGAAUUUGAUUACCUUCCUUGAUCACCUGUUUUACAAAAGAUUUUUGAUGCUUAGCAUUGCUUUAGAAAAACAAAAUGUUUUGUUUUUACAAAAGAUGAUUUGGCAAAAGUGGAUGGGAUGUUUUUGAAAAUAAAACUUGAUGGUGAAUCCAUCACGGCCGUGAUGGAUUCAACAUCGGAAAAGAUGUACCUCUGCCAGGUACCCACCUUUGGGGUUAAAUGAUUAAGCUGAGACCGGGCGGGUGACUUGCACGAGAAAGGAGUCUCGAUGUAGUGUCUCCGUCUGAGUCGUUUAAGGACCGUACUGAUUGUUGGCCUGUUGAUCUAGGACCCUUUAUCUGGCCACAUACCUCAUCAUGGGUAAGCUUGAACCCGGCUAUUCCAUACAUGAAAAGACAAUCGCGCACUGGGAGUGGAGAGAUGGCGAGAGUGGCACGUACCCUCCUGGCAAAGGACCGCCUAAAAGGGGUGGUGUGCUCUCGGGUGGCGCGGACCUGUUCAUGUGGUGGAGGAUCCGUGGGAAUGGUAGACAUGUGCAAAAGAGUUAAGAGAAGCAUAUGUCGUGUGGUUGGAGAUCCCCAGCUGGGUAUUAAUCGAUUCGGAUCGCCGAACUUCUCGGAUAUGAAGACUGGAUCUUCGACCCUCAUCGUAGAUAACAAGCGAAACAAAAGUUGGAUUUUAAAAGAAAGCUAGUGUAGGACAAGUGAAUGCUCUAGAUUAGGCAAAUCUAGAUUCAGGAAAAGUACUUAACUUGUGAUGUAAAAUUUUGGCUUAAGGACUCACUUCUAGUAAGCUUUUCUGCAAAAAGAGUCCUUGAAACUUGAUGAGCUUUACCUUGAAUCCCUCUAGCCAGCAUACCCUUGAGAGUCUUUUCUUUAGUCGGGUAAGUCUUGCUGAGUAAUUCCGUGCUUAGGGUUUUAUUCCCUGUUGUUUUUCAGGUUCUAACUUUGUGCUGUUGUUGAUGGUGUUAAGUGCCGGUGGGCUCGGCCUUCUUAUAAGUCUAAGUAACUCUUCUAUACUUCUUAUUGAGGAUGUUCACUUGAGCUAGCAUAUAUUUCAAAACUAUAAAUAAUUUAUAAUAGUUUAAAGUUAUUCCUUUGAACCACUUCUGUAACCACUCCGAUAAAUCUAAUGUAAAACUUGAUGUAGCUUGUAAAAUUUGGUAAAAAGAUUUCCGCUGCAAAAUGUUGGUGUGUGAUUUGUGUUUACUUAA